Molecule: small nucleolar RNA, 107 nt
Organism: Lathyrus oleraceus (garden pea)
Lineage: Eukaryota; Viridiplantae; Streptophyta; Magnoliopsida; Fabales; Fabaceae
Source: RefSeq, a predicted model, not a curated record
AGCCCAUGGUGUGGACAAAGUCUCAUCAUGUCUUUGUAUCUCUCCCAAGCAUCGAAAAGAGAUUCAUUGUCUUUCUGCUUAAAUCCGUUGAUUUGGGCUCUUAGCAU